Molecule: non-coding RNA, 355 nt
Organism: Pelobates cultripes (western spadefoot toad)
Lineage: Eukaryota; Metazoa; Chordata; Amphibia; Anura; Pelobatidae
Source: the annotation of a GenBank genome assembly
AAUCAGAAAUGUUCUGCAUGGUCCUAAAGUUAAAAUAGAAAAAGGUAGGAUCUUAUAGUAUAACACAAAUAAACGUUAAAGGAGCAUUCCACUGCCAACCCCCACCACACCAAAUAAAUCACUAUUUAGUAGAUAUACCCUCAAUGAAAACAUGCAUGCAUUUAACUAUGUUUUUUCCCCUGUGGGUAUAUUUAAAAACAGGCUGCAAAAGCUGCAGAUUUCUUGUUUGCAGCCGUUGCAAGCCCUCCACCUUUCCCCAGCACAGACUUUCAGAGGCUUCACAUUGAGAAUUGGUACUGCGUAGUGAGCCAGGAAGCCAGGAACGCAGAGGUAAAAUAAACUCUGUAAACGUGCA